Molecule: long non-coding RNA, 364 nt
Organism: Pieris brassicae (large cabbage white)
Lineage: Eukaryota; Metazoa; Arthropoda; Insecta; Lepidoptera; Pieridae
Exons: 4
Source: RefSeq, a predicted model, not a curated record
AUGUAACCUCUUUGCAUUUGGUGUCGUUUGUCCCAGGGCUGAGCCAGGGCGCCUGCUGAAUCGUGGCCUGCGAUCGCCUGGCAUUAAGCAAUGCCGCCGGCAGCAGGCCCGCGACCCGAUGUGCGACCGCCACCGUGGGUGUCCUCACGGCCGGACGAUCACUUUACUGGCAUCGCAUCGCUGUCGUUGCUCCUCAGCGAGAAACGAUCACGUAGUGCCUAGUUAGAUACUUAGAUAGGACUUUUAUGAACCUGUAACAAUAUUAAGAGGCGCAACCCGACAUUAGGACGUGGAAAAUAUCACUAUAAACUAUAUACACUUUCGCGAUAAUAGAUUAAGACAUUAUUAUAAAUGAAGGCAAACG